Non-coding RNA from Oryza barthii, 205 nucleotides. The record is from Rfam. Lineage: Eukaryota; Viridiplantae; Streptophyta; Magnoliopsida; Poales; Poaceae.
AAUAAGUAUAAUUUUAUACUAUUCACGUUCAACGUUUGACCGUUCGUCUUAUUUAAAAAAUUUUUAUGAUUAGUAUUUUUAUUGCUAUUAGAUGAUAAAACAUGAAGUACUUUAUGUGUGACUAAAUAUUUUUAAUUUUUUCAUAAAUUUUUCAAAAAAACGGACGCUGAAACGUUAGGCACGGAUAUCCACGGCUGCACUUAUU